This 1143-nucleotide ribosomal RNA is filed under the name Sterreria lundini. RNAcentral describes it as "bacterial SSU rRNA". It matches the Rfam family "Eukaryotic small subunit ribosomal RNA", at positions 616 to 1805 of the family's 1831-position model. The record is from RNAcentral. Lineage: Eukaryota; Metazoa; Xenacoelomorpha; Nemertodermatida; Nemertodermatidae.
UGCAUUUAAAAAGCUCGUAGUUGGAUSUAGGAGUUCCUGACGUCGGUUCUUUCAGGAGAUACUGACGCUUGGACUUCUACAUUUUGCGGUUCGGGUCGAUGUGCCCUUGAUUGGGUGCUCGUUCUGGCCGCAGCGUUUACCUUGAAAAAAUUAGAGUGCUCAAAGCAGGCGACAGCCUGGAUAGUCUAGCAUGGAAUAAUGGAACAGGACCUCGGUCCAGUUUUGUUGGUUUCGAGGACAGAGGUAAUGAUUAAGAGGGACAGGCGGGGGCAUCCGUACUGUGGCGUUAGAGGUGAAAUUCUUGGAUCGCCGCAUGACGAACUAGUGCGAAAGCAUUUGCCAAGGAUGUUUCCAUUAAUCAAGAACGAAAGUUAGAGGAUCGAAGGCGAUCAGAUACCGCCGUAGUUCUAACCAUAAACGAUGCCGACCGGCAAUCUGCAAAAGAGAUUUAUCAUUGCAGGCAGCCCCGGGGAAACCAGAGUUUUCAGGUUAUGGGGGAAGUAUGGUUGCAAAGCUGAAACUUAAAGGAAUUGACGGAAGGGCACCACCAGGAGUGGAGCCUGCGGCUUAAUUUGACUCAACACGGGAAAACUCACCCGGCCCGGACACAGUGAGGAUUGACAGAUUGAAAGCUCUUUCUUGAUUCUGUGGGUGGUGGUGCAUGGCCGUUCUUAGUUGGUGGAGUGAUUUGUCUGGUUAAUUCCGAUAACGAACGAGACUCCAACCUGCUAAAUAGACGUCGGUGCCUAACGGCUCACGACGGCUUCUUAGAGGGACAAUCGGCGCUUAGCCGGAUGAGAUGGAGCAAUAACAGGUCUGUGAUGCCCUUAGAUGUUCGGGGCCGCACGCGCGCUACACUGAAAGAGUCAACGUGUGCCUACCCUACUCCGAAAGGAGCGGGUAACCCUCUUAGCCCCUUUCGUGCUGGGGAUAGGGGAUUGCAAUUAUUUCCCUUGAACGAGGAAUUCCUAGUAAGUGCAAGUCAUAAGCUUGCACUGAUUACGUCCCUGCCCUUUGUACACACCGCCCGUCGCUACUACCGAUUGAAUGGUUUAGUGAGACCUUCGGAUUCGAGGCAGUCGGUCGCUUCGGCGGCCCAGCAUUCGGAAAAGCCGGUCGAACUUGAUCAUUUAGAGGAAGUAA